CACCUCUAGCAUAACAAGUAUUAGAGGCACUGCCUGCCCAGUGACACUAGUUAAACGGCCGCGGUAUCCUGACCGUGCAAAGGUAGCAUAAUCAUUUGUUCUUUAAUUAAGGACUUGUAUGAAUGGCCCCACGAGGGUUUGACUGUCUCUUACUUCAAAUCAGUGAAAUUGACCUUCCCGUGAAGAGGCGGGAAUAACCAAAUAAGACGAGAAGACCCUAUGGAGCUUAAAUUUCACUACUUACCCAACAAAAACACAUACCUACGGGAAUAAACACAUUGCACUAAGUAGUAAAUUUCGGUUGGGGUGACCUCGGAGCAGAGCACAACCUCCGAGUGGUUUUAACCAAGACUAACCUGUCAAAGUUAUUCCAUUUAUUGAUCCAAUAAUAUUGAUCAACGGAACAAGUUACCCUAGGGAUAACAGCGCCAUCCUAUUUAAGAGUUCAUAUCGACAAUAGGGUUUACGACCUCGAUGUUGGAUCAGGACACCCAAAUGGUGCAGAAGCUAUUAAC
Molecule: ribosomal RNA, 515 nt
Filed under: Solisorex pearsoni (Pearson's long-clawed shrew)
Lineage: Eukaryota; Metazoa; Chordata; Mammalia; Eulipotyphla; Soricidae
Description: partial 16S ribosomal RNA
Rfam family: Bacterial large subunit ribosomal RNA
Source: RNAcentral